Molecule: ribosomal RNA, 482 nt
Filed under: uncultured bacterium
Lineage: Bacteria
Description: bacterial SSU rRNA
Rfam family: Bacterial small subunit ribosomal RNA
Source: RNAcentral
CGGAUGAACGCUAGCGGCAGGCUUAACACAUGCAAGUCGAGGGGUAACAGGUCUUCGGACGCUGACGACCGGCAAACGGGUGCGGAACACGUACGCAAUCUACCCUUAUCUUGGGGAUAGCCCACUGAAAAGUGGAUUAAUACCCGAUAGGAUUAUAGUUUGGCAUCAAACAGUAAUUAAAGAUUUAUUGGAUAGGGAUGAGCGUGCGUAAGAUUAGGUAGUUGGUGAGGUAACGGCUCACCAAGCCAACGAUCUUUAGCUGAUGUGAGAGCAUGAUCAGCCACAUGGGCACUGAGACACGGGCCCAACUCCUACGGGAGGCAGCAGUGAGGAAUAUUGGUCAAUGGACGAAAGUCUGAACCAGCCAUGCCGCGUGAAGGAUGAAGGCGUUCUGCGUUGUAAACUUCUUUUAUCAGGGAAGAAACCACCGUAUUCUUAUGGUGUUGACGGUACCUGAGGAAUAAGCACCGGCUAACUCCGUG